AGAGUUUGAUCCUGGCUCAGGAUGAACGCUAGCUACAGGCUUAACACAUGCAAGUCGAGGGGAAACGAUAGAGAAAGCUUGCUUUUUCUAGGCGUCGACCGGCGCACGGGUGAGUAACGCGUAUCCAACCUGCCCAUCACUUGGGGAUAACCUUGCGAAAGUAAGACUAAUACCCAAUGAUAUCUCUAGAAGACAUCUGAAAGAGAUUAAAGAUUUAUCGGUGAUGGAUGGGGAUGCGUCUGAUUAGCUUGUUGGCGGGGUAACGGCCCACCAAGGCGACGAUCAGUAGGGGUUCUGAGAGGAAGGUCCCCCACAUUGGAACUGAGACACGGUCCAAACUCCUACGGGAGGCAGCAGUGAGGAAUAUUGGUCAAUGGGCGAGAGCCUGAACCAGCCAAGUAGCGUGCAGGAUGACGGCCCUAUGGGUUGUAAACUGCUUUUAUAAGGGAAUAAAGUGGGAGUCGUGACUCCUUUUGCAUGUACCUUAUGAAUAAGGACCGGCUAAUUCCGUGCCAGCAGCCGCGGUAAUACGGAAGGUCCGGGCGUUAUCCGGAUUUAUUGGGUUUAAAGGGAGCGUAGGCCGGAGAUUAAGCGUGUUGUGAAAUGUAGACGCUCAACGUCUGCACUGCAGCGCGAACUGGUUUCCUUGAGUACGCACAAAGUGGGCGGAAUUCGUGGUGUAGCGGUGAAAUGCUUAGAUAUCACGAAGAACUCCGAUUGCGAAGGCAGCUCACUGGAGCGCAACUGACGCUGAAGCUCGAAAGUGCGGGUAUCGAACAGGAUUAGAUACCCUGGUAGUCCGCACGGUAAACGAUGGAUGCCCGCUGUUGGUCUGAAUAGGUCAGCGGCCAAG
This 853-nucleotide ribosomal RNA is filed under the name uncultured bacterium. Its description in RNAcentral is "bacterial SSU rRNA". It matches the Rfam family "Bacterial small subunit ribosomal RNA", at positions 8 to 851 of the family's 1533-position model. The record is from RNAcentral.